This 27-nucleotide non-coding RNA is filed under the name Mus musculus (house mouse). Lineage: Eukaryota; Metazoa; Chordata; Mammalia; Rodentia; Muridae. The record is from RNAcentral.
UAGGGUAUCGAUUGAUAGACUGGCUCC